GGGGAAGUUCUGCGGGGGGCGGAUCCACUUCCAUUGGCUCGGCCUUUACCUUCACCUUCUGGUACUGGGCGUCUUUGCUGUUCUCUGGAGAGAAGACGACAACUACUGAUAAAGAAAGCAGUGGGCACGAAAAAAGAAAGACGUGGCACGACUUUGAUGCAUCGAAACCAUAGGGAGAAAUUCUUGGACUGACAGUCAAUGAAGAGGACAGGCAGAGAGGCAAAGUGGAAGGGUGAAGAGAAAAAGAAAACUGUCAAAAGAGUGCCAGAAAAAAAACACCCGAGGGUAAAAUAGAAACGAAGACUGCAGGAUGAGAAUGAAGAGCUGGGGGAGGACAGCACGAUGAGAGUUGGCCAGAGCCUAAAUGACAUCUCUUCCCCCUUCCCGUUAUCCAGCCGACCUGCUCAGACAGGGGUGAAGAGUUCAGGCGCUUCAAAGGCUGCAGUGUGGAGACUGGAUGUCAUGUGGGAGCCACAGCAGCCUUGCCUGCAGACUUCACAGACAGCUGCUGCUACAAUUGAUCCUCAACCAACUAGAGCUCCGCAGUUAAGUCUUCCAACAGAUACAAAAUGCAGAAACAUGUAGAGCAGCGCGCCUGAUAUACGUCCUAUAAUUAGUCAGAUACCGUCUCCAAGAAGCAAAAUUUAAGCAAUAACAAAAAAUAAAUAAAUACAUAACCAAAUCUCAGGUUGCUUGGUCAUAUAGGCGUAGAUAAAUACCAGAUAAAUGACUGCCAUCACCCAUAGAUAUCAAACUUAGCACUAAAUAAAAAGCAAGUAUACCUAUAAUUAAAAGAUGGAACUAUAGGAUGUGAUGAAGAGCCAGAGAGACAGAAGGUACGGAGGGCGGGAAUAAAAGAGGUCAGCAAGCGGCCACGCUGAGGGGUCACAGUGAGGACACUGUCAGAGCAGAGUACGGCUUAAUAUGAGGUAAUACCACAGAAUGAUGCCAAUGUUGUGAACUAGAAUGGUGAACCGCUUGGACAGCGUGCUGUGGUAAGCUAUAUUGAAAAAUUUAACGGCUGAAUCUAAGCAGCGUUACAUUUACUUAAAACAUGAAAGGAGGAUUUUAUAAAGUACAUUUAUACAUAAAACAUUUGGUGGUAUUGCUUGCCUCUUUUUUAGACCACUUUAAUCUUUAUUUAUAUUAUCUACUAAAAAGCAGUGGAAUUGAGAGCUCAUAUUUAUUAAUUUAAAUUGCAAGAAAAGGGACAUGAUUUGCUGAGGAGAGUUACCACUUGAAUAUUUCUUCCUUAGUCUUUUUUUGUUCUUGCUAAGAAAAAAGCUGUAGAAAAAAUAGCUGAGAUACUAACUCUUGAAUUAAAGUCAUACACAUCAAAACUGUGGUGUUCAGCAAAAAAAUAUAUAUUUUCCUGUGAUUGCACUAGAAUUGCAGUAGAAAAUGUUUUGUGAGAAUAAGAAAUAACUGAUGUAAAAACUAAAGAAAUCUGUAAAGAUGUGUGAAAUGUAAGAAAAAGACAAGACAUUAGGCUCCCCUGAUGUAUGGACUUCACCGUGUCAUACAGACCAGAUGUCGGACUUCAAUAAACCUUUUUUCUUUGACUAUUUGAAACCAAAGUCAAAUUCCUUG
Long non-coding RNA from Girardinichthys multiradiatus, 1590 nucleotides. RefSeq lists it as uncharacterized. The transcript has 3 exons. The record is from RefSeq and is a predicted model, not a curated record. Lineage: Eukaryota; Metazoa; Chordata; Actinopteri; Cyprinodontiformes; Goodeidae.